GCUCAACCGACUGAGCCACCAGGCGCCCCUCUCUUUAUUUUUCAAGGGGUUGUUGACCUCCUCCCUGUCUCAAGUUCACUUCUGGGUCCGACAGACACAGAUGGGCCUCAAGGAGCUCCAGGCUCACAGGCAUGAAACCAUAAUUUGGAGAUCCAAAGAUGGAUGGCGUAGUUCCUGCCCUCAGGACUUCGUAACUGGGGAGAGAGAAACAUGCAAUGAAAAUGGUAACUCUAGUGUGGCCAAUGCUGUCAUGGAGGAGGGGCACCAUUGUGCAGGAGCACAGAGGAGGCAGUGGAGGACUCAGCUUGGAGGGGACGGAGAACGUUUCCUAGAAGAUCUAAUAGCAUCAACGGUGCACCUUGAAAAGAGAGUAGGAAUUCUCCAGGCAGAGGGAACAGCAUGUGCAAAAGCCAGGAAGUGUGAGGCUGGGUUGUGCUUUUAUCCCUCUGUGUCAGACACCGCGUUGAGCACUUCACGUUCAUGAACUCUUCCUAAUCCCACAAGUUACUACAAGGACUGGCAGAAAACCAUGGUCCUGAUAAGAGGAGGUGACUGUCAUCAAGGAUAAAUAUGAAAACAGCAUUUAGGGGCAGCGUGGGACUUGAAUUCAGAGGACCUGGAUCCAAGAACUGGUUCUUCAUCUUAUUGGCUGUGAGAAUUUGGACAAAUUAUGGUACCUCCCUGAAUCUCAGUUUCUUUACCCAUUAAGUGGAGAUAAUAGUACAUACUU
Molecule: long non-coding RNA, 730 nt
Organism: Felis catus (domestic cat)
Lineage: Eukaryota; Metazoa; Chordata; Mammalia; Carnivora; Felidae
Exons: 5
Source: RefSeq, a predicted model, not a curated record